UAGAAGAUGCCAAUUAAUCUCGAAGUUGUAUAAAGCAGGAGAGGGUGAGACUGAUUAUAUAAAAGAAUACACCUAAAAUUAUGCUAAGUUUUUUCUCUGCUUGGCAAAAUUAUCAUAGUAGGUGUCUGGCAUUAGUUUCCUACACCUCGUCACAGACAAGCACCAAAGGAAUCCCCAAACAGCCAGACAGGUUUUGGGCACCUAGGCUGAGCAGGACAUUGUCCUGGCCCUGGGAAUACAGCAGAGAAGUGGCUGGAGAAACAGUCCCUGCACUCAUGGAGUUCCCAAUCAACCAAGGAGACAAAAUGUUUAAACAUCAUAUUUAACAAGACAAAGAUAUUCCCUGUAAAAAAGUGAAAUAACACAAGGAAAAAAUUAUUAAGCUGUUAAGCAACAAAGCUGACAGAAUCGAGGAAUCAAAGUUGAAAAGAGAAGGGAAGUGGACAUUUUACAAAUCCACAAACUGGAUAAUCCAUUCCAAAUACAAAAAGAAGCAUCAUUUGUUUCUAAUAAACAGUUUCUAGAUUACAUAUUCUUAUUUAUAAUCUAAUCUUGUUAAAAAUUUUAUUCUACUUACAAAGUCUUAACUUGUCUCCAAGUUUUCUUUUUAUGUUAUUUUGAGAAGUUUUUCUGAAAAGUCUUAUAAAUAAGUAUAUACAUUUUGGU
Equus caballus (horse) is the source of this 666-nucleotide non-coding RNA. The record is from RefSeq and is a predicted model, not a curated record. Lineage: Eukaryota; Metazoa; Chordata; Mammalia; Perissodactyla; Equidae.